Mercenaria mercenaria is the source of this 975-nucleotide long non-coding RNA. RefSeq lists it as uncharacterized. NCBI's taxonomy places the organism in Eukaryota, Metazoa, Mollusca, Bivalvia, Venerida, Veneridae. The record is from RefSeq and is a predicted model, not a curated record. The transcript is spliced from 4 exons.
ACAAUAUUUGUUUUCCCAAAAUAGAUUCGUCCUCUGCUACUCUGACGGUGGUACUUGCAAUAAUUGGAGUCGGAAUUCUGAUAUUUGUAGCGUUUGUUGUGAUAAAAUGUCGGCGCCGAAAAUACGAAAUCACAGGCAAUAAAAAUCAAAAAAAUCACGAUGAACAAGAGGAUUUUUUGAAGAAUGGAAGACCAGAAUUAUUGACAGUAUUAACAAACACUGAAGAUAAUAAACAAGAUGGAGAAUCACGGGACAUUGCAAAACCUUCUGACAGCUACUCGGAUGUUUGAAGCAGCAGUAUUAUUUGGAGAUUGCAAUAAUGAAUCCAAACAUGCUGUGUGUUCUUUUGGAAAUCCAGUUAUCAAUACUUCUGACAUUUGUAAUUAUAUUUCAAAUGACGGAAUGUUGCUAUUAUUUACUUCAGUAAGGUAAUAGUGCAGUGUGGAUAUCUGCAGUGUUUUCCUGAUUUGUCAAAUAACAAAAUAAUAAUUUAUGAAUUUCGGAUACUUUUUAAGGAUACAAGAACUACCGCUUUACUUAAAAUUAUCAAUAUGGAAAGACAAGAAUUCAAUCAGUGAUGAUUGCAAAGACACAUAUAAAUGUUGAUUACCAUAUGUUUGUUGCUGUCACCGAAAAAGCAAAGUGACAUCUAUUGCAGAUAAGUAAAAUUUAAAGCCUGACAAAUAUUAACAGAAUUCUCAUAUUCGUAAAGACCGCCAUCCUGAAGAAGAGCCAUGUAGAAAUAGGGUCUCAGUAUAAUAAAUAUUCCUUAGCUACUUUUAUUAAUAAUAUACGAAACUCUUGUCAUCUUCACAUCAAAACUCGUCCACGCAUGGCAUCGAAAUUAUCAUGAUUGUGCAAUUUAUAUUUUCAGCUGAUUUUAAUAUUUUUUUGUAAUUUUGUAUUCAUGCAUCGUUAUAAAGUGUGCUUUGCUGUUUAAGUUAUUGAAAUUGGCAAAUAAAUGAUAAUGUUAUA